AGUGAACGCUGGCGGUAGGCCUAACACAUGCAAGUCGAACGGCAGCACAGUAAGAGCUUGCUCUUACGGGUGGCGAGUGGCGGACGGGUGAGGAAUACAUCGGAAUCUUCUUUUUCGUGGGGGAUAACGUAGGUAAACUUACUCUAAUACCGCAUACGACCUACGGUUGAAAGCAGGGGAUCUUCGGACCUUGCGCGAUUGAAUGAGCCGAUGUCGGAUUAGCUAGUUGGCGGGGUAAAGGCCCACCAAGGCGACGAUCCGUAGCUGGUCUGAGAGGAUGAUCAGCCACACUGGAACUGAGACAAGGUCAAGACUACUAAGGGAGGGAGCAGAGGGGAAUAUUGGACAAUGGGCGCAAGCAUGAUCCAGCCAUACCGCGUGGGUGAAGAAGGCCUUCGGGUUGUAAAGCCCUUUUGUUGGGAAAGAAAAGCAGCAGGUUAAUACCCAGCUGUUCUGACGGUACCCAAAGAAUAAGCACCGGCUAACUUCGUG
RNAcentral lists this ribosomal RNA (492 nucleotides) under uncultured bacterium. Its description in RNAcentral is "partial 16S ribosomal RNA". It matches the Rfam family "Bacterial small subunit ribosomal RNA", at positions 29 to 507 of the family's 1533-position model. The record is from RNAcentral.